This 253-nucleotide ribosomal RNA is filed under the name uncultured bacterium. Its description in RNAcentral is "partial 16S ribosomal RNA". It matches the Rfam family "Bacterial small subunit ribosomal RNA", at positions 524 to 776 of the family's 1533-position model. The record is from RNAcentral.
UACGUAGGGACCGAGCGUUGUCCGGAUUUAUUGGGCGUAAAGAGCGUGUAGGCGGCCAGGUAGGUCUGCUGUGAAAACUCGAGGCUUAACCUCGAGCUGUCGGCGGAAACCAUCUGGCUAGAGUCCGGAAGAGGAGAAUGGAAUUCCCGGUGUAGCGGUGAAAUGCGCAGAUAUCGGGAAGAACACCCGUAGCGAAGGCGGUUCUCUGGGACGGUACUGACGCUGAGACGCGAAAGCAUGGGGAGCGAACAGG